Molecule: long non-coding RNA, 281 nt
Organism: Lingula anatina
Lineage: Eukaryota; Metazoa; Brachiopoda; Lingulata; Lingulida; Lingulidae
Source: RefSeq, a predicted model, not a curated record
CCAGCCCUGUCAAUACACCUUCGAUUUUCCCCAGUCGUGCUGGUCCAUUUGCUUUGUAGUACAUAGUCGCUUACUAAUUGACUUCAUUGGGUAAAGAAAGCACUACUAGCAGUGGGACUGAUUGUUUUUUAUUCGUGGCUGACAUCGGGAUGAUUUGCGAGUAUUAAAACAAGGUGUGUGGCUACAGAGUGGAUAUAGAUCUAUUACAUACCUGAAUCAUUCAGGAGUCACCAUCAUUGGUCAUCCCAGCUGGCAGUCAGAUUGUGUCCAGUAUUGGUGAG